AAGGAGCUUGCACUUGAGGCUUUCUGAUUCUCCUGCAUUGCCUCUGUAUCAAGCUUUGCCUGAUAUCAAGCUCAAGAUUGAGGGGUUUAAGGAGAAACAAGCCGAAGAAGAAGUCAGUGCUGGUUUGAUUGAGGUUAAGGAGAGUGAAAAGAAAGAUGGUGAGGGGUCAGGGAAUAAAAAAGGGAAGAAGAAUAAAUGGAGGAUUCAUGAAGUUAGAUAUAUGGACUUUGACACAGGUGUAGAUGAAUUGGAGUGAUGAUGAUGUUGGUAUUAUCAUAGAAAAUAUAAAAGAANNNNNNNNNNNNNNNNNNNNNNNNNNNNNNNNNNNNNNNNNNNNNNNNNNNNNNNUUUUGCCUGAUAUCAAGCUCAAGAUUGAGGGGUUUAAGGAGAAACAAGCCGAAGAAGAAGUGAGUGGUGGUUUGGUUGAGGUUAAGGAGAGUCAAAAGAAAGCUGAUGAGGGGUCAGGGAAUAAGAAGGGGAAGAAGAAUAAAGGGAGGAUUCACGAAGUUAGAUAUAUGGACUUUGACACUGGUGUAGAUGAAUUGGAGAGUGAUGAUGAUGUUGGUAUUAUCACAGAAAAUGUUGGCAAUGAUGCAGAAGGGGACAACAAUGAUAAAUAUAUUGAGGAGAGCGAGGACGAUGGAGUUAAGAAAGCAAAGAAGAGGAAAAUUGAGAAGAAAGCGAAAAAGUUGAAAAAUGCUGAGAAACAGAAGAAGAGUAAGUUGUCUUAUGAUGGGAAUUUGAUCACUUGGUAAAAGGUUGAAGGGACCGCUCACGUGGCGUGUAUCCAUGGUGUCUUAUUAUGGCGUUGUAUGUUGUUUCCUGGUUCAUCACGUGGAAAGUUAUUUCCAGCAUGACUCCUCAUGUUAGGAAGUUGAUCCUGCUUGAAAUAUUUUUGAAAGGACGCUCGAAAAGGGAAAGGAACAACAAUGAUGAUGAUAUCGAGGAGAGCGAGGAUGAUGGAGAUGAGAAAGCAAAGAAGAGGAAAACUGAGAAGAAAGCGAAAAAGUUGAAAAAUGCUGAGAAGCAUGGUGAUGUUCUGAGUGAGUUGAAUGGUGAGAAGAAGACCAAGAAGUUGAAAAGUGCUGAGAAACAGAAGAAGAGUAAGUUGUCUUUGAAAGAUGGAAAGAAGAAUAAGAAGACCAGUGAGGUUGGGAAAAAACUGAAAGAUGGAAGCUUCAGCUGAUUCUUUCUAUCCUGAAGUCUUCAGCAGGCAUUGCCCGCAGACUCUUUCACAAGUCUCUUGUUUUACUUUUCGUAUUUAUUUUGUUAUCAAUUUUGAUUUUGAAUGAACCCGUAGUUCAAAUACUGACCUGCUGUGAGUAGCUGGCUCUUCUAUGUUAAUCAAAGAUAUGUUAUUUUAUUUAAAGCUCUCACUUCUAGUCUUUAAUGAUGCUUAGAGAUUCUGUGGCAU
This 1414-nucleotide long non-coding RNA is filed under the name Nicotiana benthamiana. RNAcentral's name for it is "long non-coding RNA (NBEN_LNC003602)". The record is from RNAcentral. Lineage: Eukaryota; Viridiplantae; Streptophyta; Magnoliopsida; Solanales; Solanaceae.